This 3659-nucleotide small RNA is filed under the name Pan troglodytes (chimpanzee). RNAcentral describes it as "retained intron". The record is from RNAcentral. Lineage: Eukaryota; Metazoa; Chordata; Mammalia; Primates; Hominidae.
GUGUGAAGGCUGGGGAGGCAUAAUUUUAAAGCAGGUUGGAGGAACUCCUGCAGGCAGACAGGAACUUGUUGGAAUUCUCCAUCCGUUCUCUUCUCAGUGCCAAGAUAAUUAUCUUAAAUUUAGGCAGAAUGGUUUAAAUGCUGUUACAGCUGCCUGGUGACUUCCUGUUUCUCCCUUUUGUCAUCUAACUUAAUGAUUCUCAAACUUUAUGUACAUAAAAAGUCCUUCUCAGGUUUGCCUCCACAAAACUGCGCUCCUGUUCCCACAUGUGACUUAGGGGUCUUGAGAGGUAAUUUUCCCUUGCCCACGAACUUUGAAGCCUAACCCCUGAAUAAGAUUCAGGGGCACCAUAGGAUAGUCCUUUGGGGAUCACUGGGUGAACAUGGCAGGAAGGCAGCAAGGGUUCCCCAAAACAGGUCUCGCCACACUGGCAUACUGCUCGUUUGCUUUGUGAUGAGGGGACCAGACGGCAGCCGAGUGGAUGCUGUGGAGACAGCCUGUCUAACCUGCGAAGCAUGUGACAGUGUUACAGUUGUAGCUGAAAGGGAGAAAUGUGGCAUGGCCUUCAUAGGACAGCAGGGUUGAUUGGUCACUUGUUCCAUCACAGUGUCUGAAGACAUCAGUUUCACCUGGUGAUGGGGCCUCUCAAGUCGGGCCAACAGACUCUUCCCUGGGCCCUGUGCUGUUCAGCACUGUUUUUAUAGUCACUGCUCUGAAAUAAAAACCUCAGCACCCCAAGUACUAGGAAUGCAUUAGAUGAUGGAACCAGAAGCCAGGAAGGCCUCAACAGAUUAGAAUCAAGAGACAAACUAAACAGAUGAUUUAGUAGGAGAACUCCAAAGUUGUGGUUCUGGGGCUGUGCAUGUUGAGGUCUGGAUGGAGUAGAUGUGCUGAAUGGCUGUGUCCUAACAGAGCUGACCACCAGCCAGAAGUCCAGGCCCAGCACCACCCCCACAUCUCGGUCUCUGCUCCCUGCGUUGGUCCCUGCCAUCCACCUGCUCUGCUGCCAAUAGAAAGAUCUGACAGAAAGUCAGCCCUGUUACUCUUUGCCUAAAACCUUCUGCAGCUCCCAUUACCUUCAGGAUGUCCCCUAAAUUCCUCAGCAUGACUUUGCAGGCACUUCAUGAUUGGGAAGGCAGCGGGAGAUGAGGGGUGAUGGGUAAUUCUUUUCAUUUUACAGUGUUCUGUAGGUUUGAUUUUUUUUUCUUUUUUCUUUUUUUUACCAUGAGCUAAAGAUACUCUUAGCAUUGAGAGAGAGAGAAAUGUAUCUUGUCCCGGUUUCUUUCAUCCUUUGUCUGAUGGCCAGGAGCUUGUCAUGACUCAUUUUGUCUAACUUCCCCAUCUCACUGCUCUGUCCCCUUGAGGUCAGUCUCCCCUUGCCAAGGAGUGAUACUGUCACAUCCCCAAAUGAAUCUUUGCUUUUAAUCAGCGCUCCUUCAAAAGCAGGUGAGAACGGCUCCUGUCAUGCAUCCACGUUUCAUAAUUUGCACAUUUGGUAAUGAUGCUGGGAGAGCUUCGCACAGAGGAGAGGGAACCCCGAAUUGUGUGCAUAAGGCUUUGGGCUUCCUAAUGGGCUGUAAUUCUGCUCUUGGCAGGACGGCUACGAGCAGCUUAGGCAGCUCUCCCAGCACGCCAUGAAGGGGGUCAUCCGUGUGAAGUUUGUCAAUGACCUCGGGGUGGACGAAGCAGGGAUUGAUCAAGAUGGUGUUUUUAAGGAGUUCUUGGAAGAGAUCAUCAAGAGAGUUUUUGACCCAGCACUCAAUCUGUUCAAGACAACCAGUGGGGAUGAGAGGCUGUACCCCUCACCCACAUCCUACAUCCAUGAGAAUUACCUGCAGCUCUUCGAGUUUGUGGGGAAGAUGCUGGGGAAGGCUGUGUAUGAGGGAAUUGUGGUGGACGUGCCAUUUGCAUCCUUCUUCCUGAGCCAACUGCUUGGGCACCACCACAGCGUCUUCUAUAGCUCGGUGGAUGAACUGCCUUCUCUGGACUCCGAGUUCUAUAAAAACCUCACCUCCAUCAAGCGCUAUGAUGGGGACAUCGCUGACCUGGGCCUGACGCUGUCUUACGACGAGGACGUCAUGGGUCAGCUUGUUUGCCAUGAACUGAUUCCUGGAGGGAAGACCAUUCCUGUUACAAAUGAAAAUAAAAUUAGCUACAUCCAUCUGAUGGCACAUUUUCGAAUGCACACUCAAAUAAAAAACCAAACAGCUGCCCUCAUUAGCGGAUUCCGUUCCAUUAUCAAACCCGAGUGGAUCCGAAUGUUCUCAACUCCUGAACUGCAGCGUCUCAUCUCUGGCGACAAUGCUGAGAUUGAUCUGGAAGAUUUAAAGAAGCACACAGUCUACUACGGUGGUUUCCAUGGAAGUCACAGAGUCAUCAUCUGGCUCUGGGAUAUUCUGGCCUCCGACUUCACACCGGAUGAGAGAGCUAUGUUUCUGAAGUUUGUGACCAGCUGCUCCAGACCCCCGCUCCUGGGAUUCGCCUACCUCAAGCCUCCAUUCUCCAUCCGCUGCGUGGAGGUGUCGGACGAUCAGGCUGUGCACGUCCAGGCUCGCUGCUUCAUUUCCUCAUUGGCCAAAGGAGAAGGAAAGCCUUCAGGGUUAUGGAGCUCUGUGUGUCUCAAGCCUGGCCCACUGUGGGUGCUCAAAUGAGAGUCCUACUCCCCAUAAAAACCCAGUGGCCGCCUCUGGGUGUAACUGCCUCUCAUGAUGCAGUUUGAGCCGGUGAUGCCACCUUGUACAGGGAGCUACACAGUCCUCGGCCUCCAUGCUUAAGGGAAAGUUGGCCCAAGUCAUGGUCUGCCACCGGCCACAGCACCAGUGAGGAGGGAGGAGUGCAUUCAGAAAUGUUUGGGCACCUAACAGUUUUUACAGCAUUCUACUUUUUGACAAUUGGUUAACCAGUAAUUCGCUGUGAACCGGAAGGCCCCAUUUCCAAAAGCUUACUUAGUGCAGGAAUUCUCUGUGCAGGCCCCAGGGAGAAGGGGUUCCUUCUCUGGAAGCCAGUCGUCUUGUGUCUGGGGCUUGACCUUGGGUAGUGGUGCCAGGGCAGCGCCCUGCACUCUGCCCAGCAUCCAGGGACUGGCCAGAUCCCCUCCCUGGGCUCCCUGGCCUUGGCAUCUGCCUGGGCUCCCAAACUAGGCCCUUCCCAAUUCAAGGCCACGAUGUGUGCCUUCAGGACACCGGGGACACUCUGGGCAGCGUCCUCCGGGGCUUCUUCACCAUCCGCAAGCGGGAGCCAGGCGGCCGCCUGCCCACCUCCUCCACCUGCUUCAACCUGCUCAAGCUGCCCAACUACAGCAAGAAGAGCGUCCUCCGCGAGAAGCUGCGCUACGCCAUCAGCAUGAACACGGGCUUCGAACUCUCCUAGCUCCUGUCCCAGCCCUGCCUCCAGGGCUCCUGGGCUGCCAGGGACCUUCAGCUCCCAGAGGCAGUGUGGUCCCUGGGAAUGUGACCAACAUGCCAGGUGACGUUGGCCCCUAGACCCUCUCUAUAGCCAUGAGACUCCUUGUGGCCUCAAGAACUUUAGACGCCCACGACAGCACUACACAGCAUCUCCAGGUGAUGCCCAAGGCACAGGGCUGCAGAAAAUAAACCUCCAGAUUCCACCAACACGGGUCCAUUCUUCCUGGUGAUGGCAGAGGGGCUUCUUUUAGCUAG